This 253-nucleotide ribosomal RNA is filed under the name uncultured bacterium. RNAcentral describes it as "partial 16S ribosomal RNA". It matches the Rfam family "Bacterial small subunit ribosomal RNA", at positions 524 to 776 of the family's 1533-position model. The record is from RNAcentral.
UACGUAGGGUGCGAGCGUUAAUCGGAAUUACUGGGCGUAAAGCGUGCGCAGGCGGUUUGUUAAGUCCGCUGUGAAAUCCCCGGGCUCAACCUGGGAAUGGCGGUGGAAACUGUCAGGCUCGAGUCCGGAAGAGGCGAGUGGAAUUCCUGGUGUAGCGGUGAAAUGCGCAGAUAUCAGGAGGAACACCAAUGGCGAAGGCAGCUCGCUGGGACGGUACUGACGCUGAGACGCGAAAGCGUGGGGAGCAAACAGG